UUCCGUAGGUGAACCUGCGGAGGGAUCAUUACAGAGUUCAUGCCCUUCGGGGUAGAUCUCCCACCCGUGUUAUUAUACUAUUGUUGCUUUGGCGGGCCCGCCUCGGCCACCGGCUCCGGCUGGUGAGCGCCCGCCAGAGGACCCCAAACUCUGAAAUUUAGUGUCGUCUGAGUACUAUUUUAAUAGUUAAAACUUUCAACAACGGAUCUCUUGGUUCUGGCAUCGAUGAAGAACGCAGCGAAAUGCGAUAAGUAAUGUGAAUUGCAGAAUUCAGUGAAUCAUCGAAUCUUUGAACGCACAUUGCGCCCCUUGGUAUUCCGGGGGGCAUGCCUGUUCGAGCGUCAUUACAACCCUCAAGCUCUGCUUGGUAUUGGGCGUCCCCGGCAGCGGGGUGCCCUAAAAUCAGUGGCGGUGCCGUCUGGCUCUAAGCGUAGUAAAUCUCUCGCUCUGGAGACCCGGCGGAUGCUUGCCAGUAACCCCCAAUUUUUUUUAAGGUUGACCUCGGAUCAGGUAGGGAUACCCGCUGAACUUAAGCAUAUCAAUAAGGCGGGGAGAGGAA
RNAcentral lists this ribosomal RNA (559 nucleotides) under Neofabraea sp. CKK11096. Its description in RNAcentral is "eukaryotic LSU rRNA". The stretch from base 191 to 344 matches the Rfam family "5.8S ribosomal RNA". Lineage: Eukaryota; Fungi; Ascomycota; Leotiomycetes; Helotiales; Dermateaceae. The record is from RNAcentral.